UAACGAAUAUUGGGCAAUGGGCGCAAGCCUGACCCAGCAAUGCCGCGUGCAGGAGGAAGUCCUUCGGGAUGUAAACUGCUGUCAGGGGUCAACAAGCAAAGGGACCUAAUACGUCCUGGCGUUGAGUCGCCCCAGAGGAAGCCUCGACUAACUCUGUGCCAGCAGUCGCGGUAAGACAGAGGAGGCGAGCGUUGUUCGGAAUCACUGGGCUUAAAGCGCGUGUAGGCGGCCUGGUAAGUGUCGUGUGAAAUCCCAUGGCUCAACCAUGGAACUGCACGGCAAACUGCCUGGCUUGAGGUCGGUAGAGGUGCCUGGAACUCUAGGUGGAGCGGUGAAAUGCGUAGAUAUCUAGAGGAACGCCAGAAGCGAAAGCGGGGCACUGGGCCGAUUCUGACGCUGAGACGCGAAAGCGUGGGGAGCAAACA
RNAcentral lists this ribosomal RNA (425 nucleotides) under uncultured prokaryote. Its description in RNAcentral is "bacterial SSU rRNA". It matches the Rfam family "Bacterial small subunit ribosomal RNA", at positions 355 to 774 of the family's 1533-position model. The record is from RNAcentral.